GAUGAACGCUGGCGGCGUGCCUAAUACAUGCAAGUCGAGCGAACGGACGAGAAGCUUGCUUCUCUGAUGUUAGCGGCGGACGGGUGAGUAACACGUGGAUAACCUACCUAUAAGACUGGGAUAACUUCGGGAAACCGGAGCUAAUACCGGAUGAUAUUUUGAACCGCAUGGUUCAAAAGUGAAAGACGGUCUUGCUGUCACUUAUAGAUGGAUCCGCGCUGCAUUAGCUAGUUGGUAAGGUAAUGGCUUACCAAGGCAACGAUGCAUAGCCGACCUGAGAGGGUGAUCGGCCACACUGGAACUGAGACACGGUCCAGACUCCUACGGGAGGCAGCAGUAGGGAAUCUUCCGCAAUGGGCGAAAGCCUGACGGAGCAACGCCGCGUGAGUGAUGAAGGUCUUCGGAUCGUAAAACGCUGUUAUUAGGGAAGAACAUAUGUGUAAGUAACUGUGCACAUCUUGACGGUACCUAAGCAGAAAGCCACGGCUAACUACGU
Molecule: ribosomal RNA, 496 nt
Filed under: uncultured bacterium
Lineage: Bacteria
Description: partial 16S ribosomal RNA
Rfam family: Bacterial small subunit ribosomal RNA
Source: RNAcentral